AGGAACCAGAUGAAUGUGCUUGAGCUAAACAAGACAGACUACGAGAGCUGCAAUACUGAUCAUCCUCUCCACAAUUGGACUACUGGAGCAGGAAGGGACGUUGUUCCGCUUAAUGUGACUAAAACCUACUAUUUCGCUAGUGGAAAAGGAUACUGUUAUGGAGGCAUGAAAGUGGCUAUUCAUGUUGAAAAGGCACCUCCACCUCCAAAAGCUGCUCCAGUACGCAGCAGUUCAACAAAUUUGCUCAACUCAUUUAAAGCACAGAUAAUGAUACCAGCUCUUUUCGCAACCGCUGCUGUGUGGGAUGCAUUUCUUCUGCUCUGGUAGGAUGGUUAAGUGAACCAUACAUGCUGGAUGCUUCAGAUAAUUAGUUAAACCAAGUGUCAAGAAAGUGUUUAGAUUUAUUUUUUGUGUGCUUGUAUUUUCUUUUUUCUUGAAAGUUACCAUCUUUUUUUUUUUUACCACCAAGUGCCAUUAUCAUUUGACCUGAAAAUCAAUUUUUUAUUUCAGAUCAAAUUGGUGUGUGGGGGUUGAUCUGAAAAUUUUGUUUAUUUAUGUUGUUACCUAAACAAGUUUACAAUUGUUUCAUUGGAGAAAUUG
RNAcentral lists this unclassified non-coding RNA (600 nucleotides) under Hevea brasiliensis (rubber tree). Lineage: Eukaryota; Viridiplantae; Streptophyta; Magnoliopsida; Malpighiales; Euphorbiaceae. The record is from RNAcentral.